AGUGAACGCUGGCGGCGUGCUUAACACAUGCAAGUCGAACGAGAACGGGCUAUAGCUUGCUAUAGUUGUCAGCUAAGUGGCGCACGGGUGAGUAAUGUAUAGGUAAUAUGCCUCUUACUAAGGGAUAACAAAUGGAAACGUUUGCUAAUACCUUAUACUCCUUAUUAACAGGAGUUAAUAAGGGAAAGAUUUAUUGGUAAGAGAUUAGCCUGUAUUGUAUCAGUUAGUUGGUGGGGUAAUGGCUUACCAAGACUAUGACACAUAACUGGUUUGAGAGGAUGAUCAAUCACACUGGAACUGAGACACGGUCCAGACUCCUACGGGAGGCAGCAGUGGGGAAUAUUGCACAAUGGACGAAAGUCUGAUGCAGCAACGCCGCGUGGAGGAUGACACAUUUCGGUGCGUAAACUCCUUUUAUAUGAGAAGAUAAUGACGGUAUUAUAUGAAUAAGCGCCGGCUAACUCCGUGCCAGCCGCCGCCGUAA
Molecule: ribosomal RNA, 484 nt
Filed under: uncultured bacterium
Lineage: Bacteria
Description: partial 16S ribosomal RNA
Rfam family: Bacterial small subunit ribosomal RNA
Source: RNAcentral